This 254-nucleotide ribosomal RNA is filed under the name uncultured bacterium. RNAcentral's name for it is "partial 16S ribosomal RNA". It matches the Rfam family "Bacterial small subunit ribosomal RNA", at positions 524 to 776 of the family's 1533-position model. The record is from RNAcentral.
CACGUAGGCACCAAGCGUUGUCCGGAUUUAUUGGGCGUAAAGAGCUCGUAGGCGGUUCAGUAAGUCGGGUGUGAAAACUCUGGGCUCAACCCAGAGACGCCACCCGAUACUGCUGUGACUUGAGUACGGUAGGGGAGUGGGGAAUUCCUGGUGUAGCGGUGAAAUGCGCAGAUAUCAGGAGGAACACCGAUGGCGAAGGCAGUUCUCUGGGCCGUAACUGACGCUGAGGAGCGAAAGCGUGGGGAGCGAACAGG